GUUUUAUGUCGUGCUCAUCAUUUGUUUUACUAUAAAUUACAUGUUAAAUUGCGUUUGUAUUUGGUAAAAUGUUAAAUUCUAUUGAGUAAAAUAUAGGUAUAUAAAGUUUAAAAACAAGUGUAAAUCUUUAAUUAUAUUGUGUGCUUUAUUCAUACUAAUUUUAGUCUAUAUUUAUAUAUGUAUAUUAUUAUAUAGGGGCAAUUUCAUGGAUAUCCCUCCCAAAGUCUUAAAUAUCAUAGAUACCCUUACAAAGUUUAAAAUAUCAUCUAUACCCCUGUAAAUACAGAAAAUUAUCAUCAAUACCCUUACUGUUAGUUAUGUUAGCUUUACCAUAUUUAUUAAUUGGUUAAAGCUGGGUUAAAUUUUAAAAUGACUUAUUUACCCUUAAGUUUCUCUUAAGUAAAAAUGUAUGAAGACCCCCUCAACUAUAUGCCAUUUUGAAACACCUCCCUCAACUUUCAUUUUUUUAGGUGAUAUCCCAUUAACUUUUAGUUUUUUAAAAAAUUAACUAAUUUCAGUGUAUAAAAAAAUGAGAAUUUUUUAAUUUUUUGAUAAUUUUAUCAAAUCUAGUGGCUCUAUUUAUAUUUUAUUGAAUAAAUAAUUAUAUAUAAAAAUUUAAAUAAAAAAAAAUGUUCAGGAAUUAUCCAUAUUUAAAUUCAGUUAUACGUUUGGUCUAUAUUUAAACUGAAGCUGAACCGAAAUCCGAAACCAAAAAACAAAACCAAAAUAAGAUAAAAACAUACUAUAUAUAAAAUAUAAUUUUUAUAUUUUUUAAUAAUUAAUAUAUAUUAAUAAUUUAAUUUAAUAUGUAUAUAUUAAAUACUCAAAUUUAAAUUUACAAAAAAUAUCUUGAAAUACCUCUUAGUAUUUCUACUAUUAAUAAGAGAUAAAGGGUGAAAAUGGUAUUUUGAAAAUUUAACUCCGUUUCAUACAGGCCUUAACGGAUUUUAACUAAUGGAGGGUAUUUAUGAUAAUUUUUAACAUAUUGAAGGGUAUUUGUGAUAUUAUCAAUUUUAGAAGGGUAUUGAUGAAAUUAAUAGUUUCUAGAAGGGCAUCUAUGAAAUUAUUCCUAUUAUAUAAGGGGUAGAGCUAUUAUGCUAUCGGAAGUAUAGAGGAUUUGAUACUUUCGAUUUUUUGACUCUUGAAUUAAGAAUUGUACGGUUGGGAUGAUUGCGGUCCACUCAGGGUUGGGUAGAACUUUUAAAGUUGAGUGGUCCCCACAGGAUAAUAGUAUUAAUCUAAAGGUUAGAAAUGAUUAAAAGGACUGAUCUAAAGGUCAAAAAGUCAGAAACAUAAGAUCCUUUAUACUUCUAAUAGCAUAGUAGCUCUACUUAUUAUAUAAGUCCAGCUACUAAACUAUCGUCAUUACUAAGCCCUUGAUACUAUUAAGUUUUCUGCCGUUAGAUCUAUGGCUCUGAUCAUUUCCACCCGUUAGAUUUUACUAUUCAACAAUCAUCCGCUCAACCCUAGGAAAUCACUAUCAUUCUAACCGCACAUCCCUUAAUCCAAAAACCUAAAAUCUAAUAGCACCAAGCGCUUUGUACUAUUAAUAGUAUAAUAGCCUAAUUUAUUAUUAUAUAUUAUUAUUACCUAAAUAAUAUUAGAAUACAAAUUCAACUCAUAUUGGAAUCUAAAUCUAUUUUUGGCGGAUAUGGUAACGAAAGUUUAGUAUUCAACACGUAUUCAUAUCCGAAUUCGCAUUCGAAGAAAAUAUGAAUG
Molecule: long non-coding RNA, 1719 nt
Filed under: Ananas comosus (pineapple)
Lineage: Eukaryota; Viridiplantae; Streptophyta; Magnoliopsida; Poales; Bromeliaceae
Description: long non-coding RNA (ACOM_LNC015588)
Source: RNAcentral